This 250-nucleotide unclassified non-coding RNA is filed under the name plant metagenome. RNAcentral describes it as "partial contains small subunit ribosomal RNA, internal transcribed spacer 1, and 5.8S ribosomal RNA". The record is from RNAcentral.
GUAGGUGAACCUGCGGAAGGAUCAUUAAGAAAAAAAGUUAUCUCCCACACCUCUGAGGGGUAGGAGGGACUCCACGCAUUAGCGGUCCGGGUAGCUUCCUUCGUGGAGAGGCCGGGCUGGAUCGCCCGUAUCGUGGUUGGUCUCAAGGGACCGGCUGCUUAAGUGCAAUCGGUACGGUCGCUGGUUUGCGGAGGCUGUAGUAAUACUAGCCUUGGGAGGGACUUUAAACCCGUGUUUACCUUCUUUGUUG